GCGGACGUGGCGGAACUGGUAGACGCAAGGGACUUAAAAUCCCUCGGUCCUCGACCGUACGGGUUCGAUUCCCGUCGUCCGCA
RNAcentral lists this transfer RNA (83 nucleotides) under Aquamicrobium sp. LC103. RNAcentral's name for it is "Mesorhizobium sp. LC103 tRNA". It matches the Rfam family "tRNA". Rfam says of the family: Transfer RNA (tRNA) molecules are approximately 80 nucleotides in length. Their secondary structure includes four short double-helical elements and three loops (D, anti-codon, and T loops). Further hydrogen bonds mediate the characteristic L-shaped molecular structure. tRNAs have two regions of fundamental functional importance: the anti-codon, which is responsible for specific mRNA codon recognition, and the 3' end, to which the tRNAs corresponding amino acid is attached (by aminoacyl-tRNA synthetases). tRNAs cope with the degeneracy of the genetic code in two manners: having more than one tRNA (with a specific anti-codon) for a particular amino acid; and 'wobble' base-pairing, i.e. permitting non-standard base-pairing at the 3rd anti-codon position. Lineage: Bacteria; Pseudomonadati; Pseudomonadota; Alphaproteobacteria; Hyphomicrobiales; Phyllobacteriaceae. The record is from Rfam by way of RNAcentral.